RNAcentral lists this ribosomal RNA (497 nucleotides) under uncultured bacterium. Its description in RNAcentral is "partial 16S ribosomal RNA". It matches the Rfam family "Bacterial small subunit ribosomal RNA", at positions 28 to 507 of the family's 1533-position model. The record is from RNAcentral.
GACGAACGCUGGCGGCGUGCCUAAUACAUGCAAGUAGAACGCUGAAGGAAGGAGCUUGCUCUUUCUGGAUGAGUUGCGAACGGGUGAGUAACGCGUAGGUAACCUGCCUGGUAGCGGGGGAUAACUAUUGGAAACGAUAGCUAAUACCGCAUAAAAUUGAUUAUUGCAUGAUAGUCAAUUAAAAGGUGCAACUGCACCACUACCAGAUGGACCUGCGUUGUAUUAGCUAGUUGGUGGGGUAACGGCUCACCAAGGCGACGAUACAUAGCCGACCUGAGAGGGUGAUCGGCCACACUGGGACUGAGACACGGCCCAGACUCCUACGGGAGGCAGCAGUAGGGAAUCUUCGGCAAUGGACGGAAGUCUGACCGAGCAACGCCGCGUGAGUGAAGAAGGUUGUCGGAUCGUAAAGCUCUGUUGUAAGAGAAGAACGAGUGUGAGAGUGGAAAGUUCACACUGUGACGGUAUCUGACCAGAAAGGGACGGCUAACUACGUG